Molecule: ribosomal RNA, 498 nt
Filed under: uncultured bacterium
Lineage: Bacteria
Description: partial 16S ribosomal RNA
Rfam family: Bacterial small subunit ribosomal RNA
Source: RNAcentral
GGAUGAACGCUGGCGGCGUGCCUAAUACCUGCAAGUCGAGCGAACAGACGAGGAGCUUGCUCCUUUGACGUUAGCGGCGGACGGGUGAGUAACGCGUGGGUAACCUACCUAUAAGACUGGGAUAACUUCGGGAAACCGGAGCUAAUACCGGAUAAUAUUUCGAACCGCAUGGUUCGAUAGUGAAAGAUGGCUCUGCUAUCACUUAUAGAUGGACCUGCGCCGUAUUAGCUAGUUGGUAAGGUAACGGCUUACCAAGGCAACGAUACGUAGCCGACCUGAGAGGGUGAUCGGCCACACUGGAACUGAGACACGGUCCAGACUCCUACGGGAGGCAGCAGUAGGGAAUCUUCCGCAAUGGGCGAAAGCCUGACGGAGCAACGCCGCGUGAGUGAUGAAGGUCUUCGGAUCGUAAAACUCUGUUAUUAGGGAAGAACAAACGUGUAAGUAACUGUGCACGUCUUGACGGUACCUAAUCAGAAAGCCACGGCUAACUACGUG